ACGGGAGGCAGCAGUGGGGAAUAUUGCGCAAUGGGGGAAACCCUGAUGCAGCAACGCCGCGUGAAGGAAGACGGUCUUCGGAUUGUAAACUUUUGUUCUUGGUGAAGAAGAAUGACGGUAGCCAAGGAGGAAGCCACGGCUAACUACGUGCCAGCAGCCGCGGUAAUACGUAGGUGGCAAGCGUUGUCCGGAAUUACUGGGUGUAAAGGGAGCGCAGGCGGGAAAUCAAGUUGGAUGUGAAAUGUCGGGGCUUAACCCCGGAACUGCAUCCAAAACUGAUAUUCUUGAGUGAAGUAGAGGUAGGCGGAAUUCCGAGUGUAGCGGUGAAAUGCGUAGAUAUUCGGAGGAACACCAGUGGCGAAGGCGGCCUACUGGGCUUUAACUGACGCUGAGGCUCGAAAGUGUGGGGAGCAAACAGGAUUAGAUACCCUGGUA
RNAcentral lists this ribosomal RNA (435 nucleotides) under uncultured bacterium. RNAcentral describes it as "bacterial SSU rRNA". It matches the Rfam family "Bacterial small subunit ribosomal RNA", at positions 341 to 792 of the family's 1533-position model. The record is from RNAcentral.